Molecule: long non-coding RNA, 332 nt
Filed under: Homo sapiens (human)
Lineage: Eukaryota; Metazoa; Chordata; Mammalia; Primates; Hominidae
Description: non-protein coding lnc-TMEM132B-16:1
Source: RNAcentral
GGUGAGUGGAAUCUGAAAAUGAAAUCUAACAUUUACCAAAGAUACAGAGAAGGAGGAAGAGACUGGAUUCGUUGUUCCGGCCCCUGAGUCUAGUCAGUCAGUUCUACUCUUGGGCUUUGUAGUUCUGUUCAUCAGUGAACUCUUCUGUUUUGUUGAAACCAGUUGGAGAAGGGUUUCCAGAAACCUGCACUUGAAGAGCAUCAGCUGGCACAGAGAUCUUGGCUGAACCCACUGCUGUGUUUGACUAGGAAUGAGAGUGGGCACACGGAGAGGGCAGCCCACCAGGCAGUUUGCAGACAACUCCAAACUCCACACUUGGGUUUUCUCUUCUG